Molecule: small RNA, 568 nt
Filed under: Pan troglodytes (chimpanzee)
Lineage: Eukaryota; Metazoa; Chordata; Mammalia; Primates; Hominidae
Description: retained intron
Source: RNAcentral
UGUUUGAGGAGUAGACUCUUUGCUCUGUAGAGCUCCCCAUAUUCUGGAUCUGUUUGCAUCCUCUAGGUAUUCCCUUCAAGAGAAUUGCAGCUGAGUCUGAUUGUACCUCUAGAGCUGAACAUUAUGGGAGUACUUGUUAUCUUUUAAACUUUCUCAUAGUUGCCACUUAGAGUCUUAGUGAAUUUUGAACAGAGCCUUGGCUGGUAUGUGGCAUUACAGUUAGCAGGAAUAAGCAGAAGUGAAGUGACCUUGGAAAGCUCCACUUGGCCCGUAAGCGCUAACACUGUCAGGAGACUCUACUUUUGUUUCUUGGCUAUUAGAUGGGACCUGUCAUGGGAAUGUUGAGGUUGUGGAAAUGUAUCUUGCUUUUUCACACCACCUUUCUCUUUCUUUCAGGAUUUUCUUACUGGAGUGCAAUGUGAGAGAAGUACGAGUUGCUGUGGCCACCAUUCUGGAGAAAACCCUAGACAGUGCCUUGUUUUAUCAGGAUAAGCUUUCCAUGAGGCGUCAGCGGGCUCUCAAUUAAAAAGCCUUCAUCAGUUACUGGAGGUACUACUUGCUCUGUUGG